RNAcentral lists this ribosomal RNA (442 nucleotides) under uncultured bacterium. RNAcentral describes it as "partial 16S ribosomal RNA". It matches the Rfam family "Bacterial small subunit ribosomal RNA", at positions 338 to 795 of the family's 1533-position model. The record is from RNAcentral.
CCUACGGGAGGCUGCAGUGGGGGAUAUUGCACAAUGGGGGAAACCCUGAUGCAGCGACGCCGCGUGGGCGAAGAAGUAUUUCGGUAUGUAAAGCCCUAUCAGCAGGGAAGAAGAAAUGACUGUACCUGAGUAAGAAGCACGGGCUAAAUACGUGCCAGCAGCCGGGGUAAUACGUAGGGUGCACGCGUUAUCCGGAUUUACUGGGUGUAAGGGGAGCGCAGGCGGCACGGCAAGCCUGAUGUGAAAGCCCGGGGCUCAACCGCGGGACUGCAUUGGGAACUACCGGGCUGGAGUGCCGGAGAGGUAGGUGGAAUUCCUAGUGUAGCGGUGAAAUGCGUAGAUAUUAGGAGGAACACCAGUGGCGAAGGCGGCCUACUGGACUGUGACUGACGUUGAGGCUCGAAAGCGUGGGGAGCAAACAGGAUUAGAUACCCUAGUAGUC